This is a non-coding RNA of Acanthosepion pharaonis, 109 nucleotides long. Lineage: Eukaryota; Metazoa; Mollusca; Cephalopoda; Sepiida; Sepiidae. The record is from the annotation of a GenBank genome assembly.
UUACGGCCAUAUCACGUUGAAACACCGGUUCCUGUACGAUCUCCGAUGUUAAGCAAAAUUGAGCCUGGUCAGUACUUUGAUGGGUGACCGCUCAGGUAUACCAUGUGCU